Long non-coding RNA from Populus trichocarpa (black cottonwood), 1634 nucleotides. RefSeq lists it as uncharacterized. NCBI's taxonomy places the organism in Eukaryota, Viridiplantae, Streptophyta, Magnoliopsida, Malpighiales, Salicaceae. The record is from RefSeq and is a predicted model, not a curated record. The transcript has 4 exons.
AGUUUGUACUGAAUCAAAUGCCUACUUUUGAUGGAAACACAGCUUAUUCAUUCUAUAUAAUUUUGCUUGGAAUUUUUAUUAUGAGCAUAGAACAUCUAAUUGCAAUCGUCAAAAGCUCAAAACUUGCGUGGGCUGGCCAGAGAAAUCCGUUGUGAAUCUUCUGAACGACUAUUCUACCUAUGGCAGUGGAUAGUGGUCGGAAAGUGACAGGGAUAAGUUUUGGGCUCCUCCACAUAGCUCGCUAGAUUGGACUCAAGUGUCUGCAAGACCACUUAUCUUCUCUAACAGAUCAGCUAUGCAUCCCCCUGCACCGGGACUGACAGCUCAUUCCCCUUCUGGGUGGACCUGUCGCUCGGCCCCCCUCCUUAGUGAACCGGCCACAUGUCUCCCCGGGCUGACUUCACAUCCCUCUAUGGUGGACUAGCCGAGCAUUUCCCCAGACUGACCUUGCUUCCCUUUCAACGGACUGGUCAGAUGUCCCUCCGAACUGAAUUUGCUUCCCCCUCAAUGGAUUGGCCAAGCAUUCCCCAGACUAACUUUACAUCCCCUUCGGUGGACUGGCCAUGCACCCCGUUCAAGGCUUAUAUCCUAGGUGUUCCAACAAUUUUAAUCUCCCAAUCCAAUUCAUCAGCAUUGAAAAGACUCAAAUCUAGUGAGGUUUUUCGGGAACCUCGUCAGAAAGGCCUACUCAAGGGACAAAACUUCAGCAGAUAACUUUCAAGUUUGGCCACAGGACAGUGAGAAACACUGUCGUUGGAUGGGAGGGACUCGUAAUUUUCUUUCGGGUUUGGUUUUCUAUGAAUGCCCUGUUUGAGCAUAUGGAGUUACUGACUUUUAACUUCUCGUGUGGAGCUUCUAUUCUUCCCAGUUUGGGGCUCCUAUGAACAUAAUUAGCUGCACCAUUCCUGUCAUCUUUUUUAUUGAAUUGCAGGCUUUUGUAUCUUUGGUUGGUUGGUAGGGCAACUGUGUUUUCGUUCUUUGCACCUUGAUUAUUAUGUUUACUGUUUCAAUGGUGCUCCAGUUCCCUUCCUUUCUCUUUCACAGCUGGUUCUUAACCACUGGGGAGACAAAAUAACAUGCGUCUCUCUCCAUCUUGCUCAACUGUCUUCUGUGCUCUUUCCUGUUUAAAGGACGAAGAACAGUUAUAAUUGCUUGUGUCAAAGACUUGCAGGAGGUUAUUGCUCUGCAGGAUUUCAGCGGAGUAUAUCAGAGCUUAAUCACUCCAACAUUCUUUCUUGUAUGUAUUCACCUUAGUUAGGUGAUGCAAUGGAUGUGUGGUGAUCUUUUGAAAAUUCGUUCCAUCUUGCGACAUGCUACAGCUGAUAUGCAGAAUCUAGAACGCAAUUUCAUCACAAGUUCAAGACUGCGAAUUGCCUGGAAUCUCACCUAGAAGCUCAUGUUAGUCCGGUUCAGGUGACUCUGGUUGCAAGGCAUGCUCGUAUACUUAAUGAUUCAAGCCUCUAGCUAUUCUUCAUGUCCAGUCUCAAUUUAAGUUUCUAGCUGGCAUGUUUAGACAUUGCAGGCAUGAAAGCUUGCUGUAAUUCUCUUCACUUCAUCCUUGGGGGAUUGAAAUUUUGAAAGCUCAGGUUGUAAACUGAAAUCUUGCAUGGCGUGAUUCUUCGUUCGAUGCCUCA